Molecule: ribosomal RNA, 470 nt
Filed under: Streptococcus mitis
Lineage: Bacteria; Bacillati; Bacillota; Bacilli; Lactobacillales; Streptococcaceae
Description: bacterial SSU rRNA
Rfam family: Bacterial small subunit ribosomal RNA
Source: RNAcentral
GACGAACGCUGGCGGCGUGCCUAAUACAUGCAAGUAGAACGCUGAAGGAGGAGCUUGCUUCUCCGGAUGAGUUGCGAACGGGUGAGUAACGCGUAGGUAACCUGCCUGGUAGCGGGGGAUAACUAUUGGAAACGAUAGCUAAUACCGCAUAAUAGCAGUUAUUGCAUGAUAACUGUUUGAAAGGUGCAAUUGCACCACUACCAGAUGGACCUGCGUUGUAUUAGCUAGUUGGUGGGGUAACGGCUCACCAAGGCGACGAUACAUAGCCGACCUGAGAGGGUGAUCGGCCACACUGGGACUGAGACACGGCCCAGACUCCUACGGGAGGCAGCAGUAGGGAAUCUUCGGCAAUGGACGGAAGUCUGACCGAGCAACGCCGCGUGAGUGAAGAAGGUUUUCGGAUCGUAAAGCUCUGUUGUAAGAGAAGAACGAGUGUGAGAGUGGAAAGUUCACACUGUGACGUAUCUACC